RNAcentral lists this ribosomal RNA (403 nucleotides) under Verrucomicrobiota bacterium. RNAcentral describes it as "Verrucomicrobia bacterium partial 16S ribosomal RNA". It matches the Rfam family "Bacterial small subunit ribosomal RNA", at positions 355 to 776 of the family's 1533-position model. Lineage: Bacteria; Pseudomonadati; Verrucomicrobiota. The record is from RNAcentral.
UGGGGAAUAUUGCACAAUGGGGGAAACCCUGAUGCAGCGACGCCGCGUGAGCGAAGAAGGUUUUCGAAUCGUAAAGCUCUGUCCUAUGAGAAGAUAAUGACGGUAUCAUAGGAGGAAGCCCCGGCUAAAUACGUGCCAGCAGACGCGGUAAUACGUAUGGGGCGAGCGUUGUCCGGAAUUAUUGGGCGUAAAGGGUACGUAGGCGGUCUAUUAAGUCAGGUGUGAAAGCGUGAGGCUUAACCUCAUUAAGCACUUGAAACUGAUAGACUUGAGUGAAGGAGAGGAAAGUGGAAUUCCUAGUGUAGCGGUGAAAUGCGUAGAUAUUAGGAGGAAUACCGGUGGCGAAGGCGACUUUCUGGACUUUUACUGACGCUCAGGUACGAAAGCGUGGGGAGCAAACAGG